Oreochromis aureus is the source of this 887-nucleotide long non-coding RNA. RefSeq lists it as uncharacterized. Lineage: Eukaryota; Metazoa; Chordata; Actinopteri; Cichliformes; Cichlidae. The record is from RefSeq and is a predicted model, not a curated record. The transcript has 3 exons.
AGAUCCUGGUCCUGGUGCUGUCCUCCCAGCCGGCACAUAUGAAAGUGUCACGGUCUGUGGCUCUGCAUCCGGGGAGCCACGGGAUAGUGCGGUGGUCACACCCCCGGCUGGGCCGCCUUCAACACACCUGCGUCACAUUUGAGGCAAUCACCAGAGGACUACUUCAACCAGCACUGACGGCUACUCCUCGUCAGUCCGUUAGUCUCCCCUCAGUGUGAUCAGCGUUCGGCGUGGAAGCCUGUUGCCUGCUGUCCUCCUGCCUGAUUGCCUCCCUCCCUUGGAUUCCCUCCACGGACACCUCUCCCCUCAAAGCUCCACGGUGCUAUUAAUUGUGUCCCCCCUUUGUGUUGCAGUUUCCCCACGGUCCCGAUUAUGGCGCUCCUGGGCUCCGCACUCCUCGUUUUCCCCCACGGCGUGAGCCUUAGUUUUCCGUUCCCCUGGCUUCGUUAACGACUCAACACGGACUUCCGGAAGCCGUGGCACGGAACGGCAGUUGACCCGGGGGGAGAAUCCUGAGCUGGAAUCACCGCACCUGUGCUUUAUCAUUUCGCCGGCUGCUACUAAUCUGAAGCAAACCUAUUUAAUGGUGCGGUCGGGUCACAACCAACGCUGGAACGUUGAGCUAAACCAGAAUCCAGGGAUCGGAGGAGGAGCGGGCACAAAAGGAGUUGUUUUGGAUUAUCACUGCACUGUCACCACGGGGAGAGGUCACCGUAUCACUGCACUGCCCUUUUGGAUUACAGACUCGAACUGUUGCCUUAUUUUUCACUGUGAAUAAAAUUCACUGCCACGCUGCAAGGAGUCUUGCACCUGAGUCCUUUAACUCAAUUCUCCAUGACAAAAAUAUGCUGCGCCAAAAACUGGUCCACCCUAAGGAUCGGGUCCCC